ACGUUGUCAGUAUUAGCCGUACACUUGCCUUCCAAGCAAAAAGAUUAGAACCUAAACAACGUA
This 63-nucleotide transfer RNA is filed under the name Terebratulina retusa. RNAcentral's name for it is "transfer RNA-Gly". Lineage: Eukaryota; Metazoa; Brachiopoda; Rhynchonellata; Terebratulida; Cancellothyrididae. The record is from RNAcentral.